CCUACGGGAGGCAGCAGUGAGGAAUAUUGGUCAAUGGCCGAGAGGCUGAACCAGCCAAGUCGCGUGAGGGAAGACGGCCCUACGGGUUGUAAACCUCUUUUGUCGGGGAGCAAAGUGCAGGACGUGUCCUGCUUUGAGAGUACCUGAAGAAAAAGCAUCGGCUAACUCCGUGCCAGCAGCCGCGGUAAUACGGAGGAUGCGAGCGUUAUCCGGAUUUAUUGGGGUUAAAGGGUACGCAGGCGGCCGUUUAAGUCAGCGGUCAAAGCCCGGGGCUAAACCGCGUACUGCCGUUGAAACUGGGAGACUUGAGUGCGGAAGAGGAGUGCGGAACGCGAUGUGUAGCGGUGAAAUGCGUAGAUAUAGCGAAGAACACCAGUGGCGAAGGCAGCACUCUGGCCUGUAACUGACGCUGAGGCUCGAAAGCGUGGGUAGCGAACAGGAUUAGAUACCCCUGUAGUC
Molecule: ribosomal RNA, 459 nt
Filed under: uncultured bacterium
Lineage: Bacteria
Description: partial 16S ribosomal RNA
Rfam family: Bacterial small subunit ribosomal RNA
Source: RNAcentral